RNAcentral lists this ribosomal RNA (274 nucleotides) under uncultured bacterium. RNAcentral's name for it is "partial 16S ribosomal RNA". It matches the Rfam family "Bacterial small subunit ribosomal RNA", at positions 523 to 796 of the family's 1533-position model. The record is from RNAcentral.
AUACGGAGGGUGCAAGCGUUAAUCGGAAUUACUGGGCGUAAAGCGCGCGUAGGCGGAUUAGUAAGUCGGAUGUGAAAGCCCUGGGCUCAACCUGGGAAUUGCAUUCGAUACUGCUUGACUAGAGUAUGGUAGAGGGAAGUGGAAUUUCCGGUGUAGCGGUGAAAUGCGUAGAUAUAGGAAGGAAUACCGGUGGCGAAGGCGGCCUCCUGGACCAAUACUGACGCUGAGGUGCGAAAGCGUGGGGAGCAAACAGGAUUAGAAACCCCAGUAGUCC